AGCUCCAUUAGCGUAUAUUAAAGUUGUUGCAGUUAAAAAGCUCGUAGUUGGAUUUCAGUACGGGCCAGUCGGUCGGCCGCAAGGCCUGCUACUGGCUGGUCUGUUCUUCUUCUCAAAGACUGCGUGUGCUCUUCGCUGAGUGUGCGUAGGAUUUGGGACGUUUACUUUGAAAAAAUUAGAGUGUUCAAGGCAGGCUCGCGCCUGAAUACAUUAGCAUGGAAUAAUGGAAAAGGACCUCGGUCCUAUUUUGUUGGUUUCUGGGGCCGAAGUAAUGAUUAAGAGGGACAGUUGGGGGCAUUCGUAUUUAAUUGUCAGAGGUGAAAUUCUCGGAUUUAUGAAAGACGAACGACUGCGAAAGCAUUUGCCAAGGAUGUUUUCAUUAAUCAAGAACGAAAGUAGG
Molecule: ribosomal RNA, 400 nt
Filed under: phytoplankton environmental sample
Lineage: Eukaryota
Description: partial small subunit ribosomal RNA
Rfam family: Eukaryotic small subunit ribosomal RNA
Source: RNAcentral